AUCGAACCCGGAGAUAGCUGGUUCUCCUCGAAAUAGCUUUAGGGCUAGCCUCAUGGAUCAUUGAUGGGGGUAGAGCACUGAAUGUGCGCGGGGGCCACAAAGCCUACCAAACGCUAUCAAACUUCGAAUACCAUACAAUGCAGACCAUGGGAGUCAGUCCGCGAGAGAUAAGUUCCGCGGGCAAAAGGGGAACACCCCAGAUCAACCGCUAAGGUCCCCAAGUUCACGUUAAGUGGAGAAGGAUGUGGAAUUGCACAGACAACCAGGAUGUUGGCUCAGAAGCAGCCACACAUUUAAAGAGUGCGUAAUAGCUCACUGGUCGAGUGAUUGUGCGCCGAAGAUGUCCGGGGCUAAACGUGACACCGAAGCGAUGGGUGCAUCUGAAAGGAUGCGCGGUAGAGGAGCAAUGUGCAGAGGCAGAAGCCGUAUCGAGAGGCACGGUGGACACUGCACAAGAGAGAAUGCCGGUAUGAGUAGCGAGAGGCAUGCGAGAAACAUGCCCGUCGAAAGCCCAAGGUUUCCUGGGGAAGGUUCAUCCGCCCAGGGUAAGUCGGGGCCUAAGCCGAGGACGGAAGUCGUAGGCGAUGGACAGCAGGUGUAGAUUCCUGCACUACCGAUGGAAUGAAGCAGUGACACAGAAGGAUAACUCGAGCAGGGUGAUGGUCAACCCUGUGCAAGCAUCAAGGUUGGGUUGUAGUGAAGUACGCAACCCUAUAAGCUGAGAUGUGAUGCGGACCGAAAUUUCAGUAGGGAAGCGAGUGAGUUCACGCUGGCGAGAAAAGCUGCUAGUACAUCCAAAGGUACCCGUACCGGAAACCGACGCAGGUGGGCGAGGAGAGAAUCCUGAGACGAACGGGAGAACCCUUGUUAAGGAACUCGGCAAAAUGACCCCGUAACUUCGGGAUAAGGGGUGCCUGCGAGAGCAGGCCGCAGAGAAUAGUCACAAGCGACUGUUUAGCAAAAACACAGGUAUCUGCGAAAGCGAGAGCUGACGUAUAGGUGCUGACACCUGCCCGGUGCUGGAAGGUUAAGGGAACAUGUUAGAGCAAUCGAAGCAUCGAACCGAAGCCCCAGUAAACGGCGGCCGUAACUAUAACGGUCCUAAGGUAGCGAAAUUCCUUGUCGGGUAAGUUCCGACCCGCACGAAUGGUGUAACGACUUGUGAGCUGUCUCAACAGGGGGCCCGGUGAAAUUGAAGUAUGGGUGAAGAUGCCCAUUACCCGCGACUGGACGGAAAGACCCCGUAGAGCUUUACUGCAGCCUGAUAUUGAGUUUCGGUAACUGAUGCACAGGAUAGGUGGGAGUCUGAGAGACAUGGGUUUCGGCUCGUGUGGAGACGAUGUUGGGAUACCACUCUUCGGUUACUGAAAUUCUAACAUAGCUCUGUGAAACCAGAGGAUGGACAGUGUCAGGUGGACAGUUUGACUGGGGCGGUCGCCUCCGAAAGAGUAACGGAGGCGCCCAAAGGUACCCUCAGAAUGGAUGGAAACCAUUCGAAGAGCGCAAAGGCAGAAGGGUGCCUGACUGCGAGAUUGACAAAUCGAGCAGAGACGAAAGUCGGGCUUAGUGAUCCGGCGGUAUUGAGUGGAAAAGCCGUCGCUUAACGGAUAAAAGCUACCUCGGGGAUAACAGGCUGAUCUCCCCCAAGAGUCCACAUCGACGGGGAGGUUUGGCACCUCGAUGUCGGCUCAUCGCAUCCUGGGGCUGUAUUCGGUCCCAAGGGUUUGGCUGUUCGCCAAUUAAAGCGGCACGCGAGCUGGGUUCAGAACGUCGUGAGACAGUUCGGUCCCUAUCCAUCGUGGGCGUAGGAGUCAUGAGAGGAGCUGUUCCUAGUACGAGAGGACCGGAAUGGACGCACCACUGGUGCAACUGUUGUCGUGCCAACGGCAUAGCAGGGAAGCGAAGUGCGGAUGGGAUAAACGCUGAAGGCAUCUAAGCGUGAAGCCCACCUCAAGAAUAAGUGUCCCAUUCGAAAGAAGUAAGACCCCUGGAAGACUACCAGGUGAUAGGUCAUCGGUGAAAGAGCGGUAACGUUUGGAGCUUGAUGAUACUAAUCGGUCGAGGACUUGAUCU
This 2073-nucleotide ribosomal RNA is filed under the name human gut metagenome. Its description in RNAcentral is "bacterial LSU rRNA". It matches the Rfam family "Bacterial large subunit ribosomal RNA", at positions 832 to 2925 of the family's 2925-position model. The record is from RNAcentral.